RNAcentral lists this ribosomal RNA (371 nucleotides) under Uroplatus sameiti. RNAcentral's name for it is "partial large subunit ribosomal RNA". It matches the Rfam family "Bacterial large subunit ribosomal RNA", at positions 2076 to 2606 of the family's 2925-position model. Lineage: Eukaryota; Metazoa; Chordata; Lepidosauria; Squamata; Gekkonidae. The record is from RNAcentral.
ACAAAAGCUGGAAUAAGCACAUAAGACGAGAAGACCCUGUGGAGCUUUAAACAAACCUUAACGCACCAUCACCCUCUCCCACGGGCUAAAACAUAAGUGCACCUAACAACGUUUUAAGUUGGGGCGACUGCGGGGUAAAACAAAACCCCCAUGAAAUACGAACUAUUACAAGUAGACACACUAAUAAUAGUCGUUUUGAUCCAGUACAACUGACUAACGAACCAAGUUACCCCAGGGAUAACAGCGCAAUCCCCUUCAAGAGUCCUUAUCGCCAAGGGGGUUUACGACCUCGAUGUUGGAUCAGGACAUCCAGAUGGUGUAGCCGCUAUCAAGGGUUCGUUUGUUCAACGAUUAACAGUCCUACGUGAUCU